UACGUAGGGGGCAAGCGUUGUCCGGAAUCAUUGGGCGUAAAGAGCGUGUAGGCGGCCAGAUAAGUCCGCUGUGAAAUCUCGAGGCUCAACUUCGAGCUGUCGGUGGAAACUGUCUGGCUAGAGUCCGGAAGAGGAGAAUGGAAUUCCUGGUGUAGCGGUGAAAUGCGUAGAUAUCGAGAGGAACACCUGCGGCGAAGGCGGGUUGCUGGGCUGACACUGACGCUGAUGCGCGAAAGCCAGGGGAGCGAACGGG
RNAcentral lists this ribosomal RNA (253 nucleotides) under uncultured bacterium. Its description in RNAcentral is "partial 16S ribosomal RNA". It matches the Rfam family "Bacterial small subunit ribosomal RNA", at positions 524 to 776 of the family's 1533-position model. The record is from RNAcentral.